CGUGUUGACUCGUGUGCUGCUACCAGUUCCUUUUAGCUGUCGAUGGAGGCGAUACAUACAAAAAUGAAUGCCGGACCAGAUCGUUACAAGGGUAUUCUACGGGCGUGCCUCGCACGGGUGUCUUCAGGUCAAUACCGGCGUUUCUGGAAGCUGACAGGACGUAUGUUCCGCGACAAUGGAUCAACACACGAAAUCGUAAGCCUGACACAAUGACACGAGCUCGCUGCUCAUAGACGAUGACUCUUCGACACAGUUCAGGGAUGAUCUCCGAGGCGAAGAGAAGACUCGAGAAGCAUCGCAGAAAUUAUAUGGGCCGCAUCCAUUCUAACGUGUUUCUCGAUUUUUCGGCCACUCCUUUCUCUCUCUCUCUCUCUCUCUCUCUCUCUCCUUCUAUCUUUGUCUCUUUCGUUCUUUGUGCCCCACGAUCGUUCUUUCCUCGUUUUCGGUAUGUUACCCUCCUUUCGAUUCACUUUCGUCCUCCUUCUCUUUCUUUCCUCGCUUUCGCGCGACCGGGAACCACGUUACGCGCGGUUUGCAUCCGCACCUUGGACGAUUAUUUGUUGCUUCCGUUCCCGAGGAACUAUUUUCAACCGGUCGCCUCUGUACGACCGCUUUAUGUGCAGGAUUGAGCAAUUAACCGAGAUUAAAACAGAUACAAGCUAGGGAUUUGGCAAGAGAUAAAUCUGAAAUAAUAGAUUUUUAGUAAAAUAACUAGAAAAUGAAAACAGUGGAAAGCAUACAGUUUGUACGAGAUAUCAUCGUGUCUCGAUAUUUAUGGCACGGUAAUGUACAUGUAGAAUAGUGACACAAAAAAUAGAAAAGAAAUUUGAAGAGUAAAAAGUUCUUUAUCUUCUUUGAAAUGGAUACUACAACAACGUAAAAAUUAAGAACUACGUACUAAUAAAUCUAGUGAUUUUAGCAUUUUUGAUCGAAACUAUUAAAUGCUUGUUAUGUUUUCUAUUUGUAUUUUAUUAAAAAGAGUAGUAAUUUUCUAAAAUAACAGACCAGACACCAAAAUAUUCUGAGAUCACCGAACGAUUCUCAAGAAUCGAAUCGAUGAAACCCAAUGGCGCUUGAUGCCACUCCUCCCUCGAUUUUGGUCUCGUUAACAACUUCCCGACCAUCCACGCAAUCUCAAUUCAACCUUGUAAUUAAUUAUCGACGUGGUUCAGGGUAAGCAAGGAAUCGUUCGGGUUCGCGGAAUCGAUAAGAGUGUAUUUUCAUGUCCAUCCAAAUGUCCCUAUGUUUCACGACGUCUCGAGCGGCCGCAUGCGUGGCGAAUAAAGUAUCUUCGAAUGAAAAAUCGGUACCGAUGAUCCAGGUAGGCGGUCGCAGGUUCUCCAACGAACGCGAACGUCAGGAUCGUGGCUCGUUCGUUCGUAACCGCGUCUUGCCACGCUAGGGAGUUAUGGCGCCGGCUGGUGGUACGCCUGCGGACCGCUCUCCUGGAGAGGGCGUUAUCGGUCGGCUUAAUCGAACGAUUAAUGACACAGUGCGCGUAAAAGUGGCUGAACGAAGCAACGCGAAAAGGAAACAGAGUGGGAAUUAACCGGCAUGAAUGAACCGUGCGCCGCUUGUUAAGAGUUGGCCCUCGACUCGAGACCGUAUUUCAAUAAAACAACGCACACCGCUGACUGAUUGACUAAUUAUCAAACCGGCCAGUGGACCCAACCGUCCAGAUCAAUACGCCUGUUAAACACAAGCUUACAGCCUGCCUUCUCCUUUCACAGAUUCCCCAGAUAAUCCCAAGACACGGGGAAUUCGGAUUUUUAUCGUGCUCGACGCGCGCUCGAACCGUAAUUGUGACUUUUCGGUUAAUUAACGCUCUGCGGUUGCGAGGGAUUUUUCAAAGCGGAGCAACCAGAUAGCAAAGGUGGCGAUUGAUCGUUGGUUAUGCUUCGUUGAUUCUAAGAACCCUCUUGUUCGCUUUCGAUAUUUGUCUAAGUUGAACCUCGAUGGCCGUUCAUUUUUUACAUUGUCAACUCUAUUUACCAGGAAUUUUGACACGUUUAAACUUUGCUUUUCUCCUCUCUAUCAAUAUCAAACAACCGUUACCUAGAGCUUUCUCUCCCGCUCACAAAAGUCUCUGUGUUCCUUAUAAACCAUUCUUUCGAAAUGGUUUCCAAAUGCUCCCUUCUUCCGCAUUCAUUGACUUUUCUCGAAAGUUUUCUCUUUAUUAUUUAAUAUGUACUUUACAAUUUGUCCAGCUGGACAAUUUUUCUAGCUUAAUCGCUAAAUAAUACGUGGAUGGCUAACCCCAGAAGGAUACCAUCUUCUAGUUUGACUAUUUUAUUUCUUUAGCGAGGUCAGUGUGGUGUUUUCUUUUUAGUUUUCUUUCUUUAAUUCUUCUUUCGAGUUUUUCUCGCUUCAGUAGCCAGAUUUUCUCGAAAGUGAACACCCAGUACGAACGAACGUGCCCGAAUAGGCGAAUCGGUAAUCAACGAACAUCGAUUGCAGUCGACCAUCGAGUCGCAAGUCUCAGAACUAGUUCUCUAAUCCUGCUGACCAGGUGUCGAGAUAUCGAAAGGUGAUGGAACGGCUCGAGACGCGUUAAAUAUUGAGCCAGUCACGAAGCACACGCGGCGUGGCCCGUAAUGAGCCAAUCCUCCAUCCUGCUCCUUUCGAGGAUGAUACUCGCGCGUUUCCACUCGGCGAUCGGACGGUGCUCAUUAGCGACGGAUUAAUAGGAUCCAGACGAAGGAACGAGCGGACAAAUGCACGGUAGCCGUGUCCACAACGACGCGAGUCAUUCGUUUCGAAUAUUUUGCCACGGUGGACGCGCGUCUGCCGGACGCCGCAUCUAUCUCGACCCGCGAUCGCCGCAACUCUGUCGUAAGGUCUUUAUCGGACAUCUGGAUAUUAAGUGAACGUGAGCGUUGCUUAAUCAGUGUCCAUGGAAAUUCGAGGCGGCCCAAUCCACCGCGCUGUUGCAUCGUCGAUUAAUGGUGCUACGAGUGCACUCUCAGGCAGCGUUGUCAAUUCUUCGAUUUUGGUAUUGGGAACUCGCGUUAAUUCGGACUUGGCCUGGUUACUCGGAAAUAAGGUUAGGAGAAAAUAGUACUACACUACAUCUAUUUCAAUUAUAUCACUUUAAUUGCAAAAUCACAUUGCAAUGAUUUUAUUCUUUAUAGAGUGUAAUAAGAGUGUAAUAAGACACUUGCUUAUUUCUGACGUGAUGUAGUUUAGAUAAUCAUACAAUUACGAACGUUGCAAAGUGUAAUUGAUUUUAUAAAGUGUAAAAUUGUGUUUCACGCUAUAUUAUAUUAAAAAACAUAUCGCAUUGUACAUUGUAAAUUAUCAUAAUUAUCGAAUUAUGUUGUAGAAUUUAUUACAAAUUAUACAAUUUUUAAUUAUACAAUUAUGAGCGUGUCAAAUUGUAAUUGAUUUUAUAUAUUGUAUUAAAAAAUAUAUCGCAUUAUACAUUACAAAUUAUCACCAUAAUUAUCCAAUUAUGUUGUAGAAUUUAUUACAAAUCAUACAAUUAUGAGCGUGUCAAACUGUAAUUGAUUUUAUAUAUUAUACUAAAAAAUA
Molecule: long non-coding RNA, 3531 nt
Organism: Bombus terrestris (buff-tailed bumblebee)
Lineage: Eukaryota; Metazoa; Arthropoda; Insecta; Hymenoptera; Apidae
Exons: 3
Source: RefSeq, a predicted model, not a curated record